AUAAUGGCAGGCAGGAGAAAGACCUGUACUUUUACGGAGGCAUUCGCUAUCAUUACUAACGACAGUGGGGCUACUGUAGUCCCUGUCGAGUCGUCGCCUGACGACAGUGACUUGCUGUUGCCAGAACUGGACACGGACAACGGUGAUUCAGAAGUUCGAAUUCCAUCACCUGAAAGUGAUGAUGAUGCUGAUUAUGAGCCACCUUCAUCGACUGCUCCUGCUCCAGCGUCAGCCCCCCCACCUCUGUUUAUGUGUGUGUGUGUGUGUGUGUGUGUGUGUGUGUGUGUGUGUGUGUGUGUGUGUGUGUGUGUGUGUGUGUGUGUGUGUGUGUGUGUGUGUGUGUGUGUGUGUGUGUGUGUGUGUGUGUGUGUGUGUAAAUAUCCCUAGUGGUUGUAGUUUUUAGCUGUUUUUAGCUUCUUGCCUUUGUUUUUACAGUUUGGUUAUAUUAUAUGUUGUUCUCAAAUAUAUCUGCUCCAGUUGGAGUCAAACUU
Gadus morhua (Atlantic cod) is the source of this 491-nucleotide long non-coding RNA. RefSeq lists it as uncharacterized. The transcript has 2 exons. NCBI's taxonomy places the organism in Eukaryota, Metazoa, Chordata, Actinopteri, Gadiformes, Gadidae. The record is from RefSeq and is a predicted model, not a curated record.